Sarcophilus harrisii (Tasmanian devil) is the source of this 2601-nucleotide long non-coding RNA. RefSeq lists it as uncharacterized. The record is from RefSeq and is a predicted model, not a curated record. NCBI's taxonomy places the organism in Eukaryota, Metazoa, Chordata, Mammalia, Dasyuromorphia, Dasyuridae. The transcript has 2 exons.
CUCACCUGCCAAAGAAAAUCUGCAGUCUCGCCAAAAAAGGUGACUACUGGGAUCCAUUCCAACUCUAGCUUCCUGGGUCUACAAGAAAACCACUUAGGAUGCCAUAGUAACAGUAAUGGACUUUAUACAGAUAGGAAAGUUUACAAAACAUCUUCUCAACAUCAUCCCUUUCGUUCACCAAGUAGUGAAGAUAAUAUUAGAAUGGAAGUAAUGAAGUAAAGUUGAAGUAACACAGUCUGUGUUGGAGCCAGAAUUUUAACCUAAAGCUCGUCUCCCCAGGCCUGGUAACUCUUCAGCUCUAUUCGGCCGCCUUUCACUGGACCAUGGACUCAACACGGGGAAUUUCAGGCAUUCUGUGAACUUCUCCGGAAGAAAUAGAUCUCCUUCUUUUCACUAAUCACUUUCAGAAAUUUAGCAUUUCCUUCCAUUCUGACUGCAGCCAGCAAAGGAUUAGCCUGAAAAGCAGUCUAUAAAUUUCACCAGACUGUCCAAGUCCAAGUCUAUGACAUUCAGAAAAAGUUUACUACUCAUGAGCCUCCAUGGGGCCCAGCUUCAGACUGCUUUUCCUUUCAUUUAUUUCCUUUCAUUUAUAUAUUUAUAUAGACAAGUCCCUUUUUUUUGGUUUUAUUAUUUCCUAAACAACUAAGUUAGCAUGCAGAGGAGGGAGCGACUCCGACACUUAAGCUGUACAAAAUGGAUUUCGGUUUUGUUUAAGCUGAUUCUUGUCUGGUCAUCCUAACUGCAGGCAGAAAACGCUCAGAUAGUGGGAGAGAGAAUUACAGCAAUUGUACAAGCUUAGGAAACCUGCACGGGAACCAAGGAUUAAGCAUCAGAACAAAUUAAAAACUCUAAAGACGAUGAGGAAGAGGUAUAUUCAAGUCUCUUGUGAACAGUUAUUUAAUAAAACAAACACUGGUCUUGAAAUGUGACAGCGUUCCGUUUGCCACAGUUCUUUCUCCAAUGACUCUUGGCUGGCACGGAAGCGAUUUGAGAGAGCUCUGAUUUUGUGGAAAUGCAGAAUCCUGGGAUAAACAAAGGAACCGUCUAACAAGUGGCCACUUCAGCCUCUCACCAUCAGCAAACUCUGGGAUCUGCUUGGAGGCCGCUUUCGAUGUCACUUGUCUAAUUCCAGCAAGGACAAAAUGUCAUGGAACCAUGCAAUUGUGCAAAGCUCAGGGCUGUCCUUUGGCCAGAUCUCUCUCUCUCUCUCUCUCUCUCUCUCUCUCUCUCUCACACACACACACACAUAUACAGACACACAUACAUGCACACACACCUCUCCUCUAGCAUUUUAAACCAAGCAAAGACUAGACACAUGCCACAAAAUGUCAGCACAACAGCUCAGCAGGGUCAGGCAGGAUUCUAGAAAAUGGCCUCCAGAAAACGGACGAGCCGGCAUCAUGGCUUUUUCAAAAUAUUUUCAUUUUUAAGUAAAAGGAAUCUCUUUGUUGUAAAGGGCUUGGGGAUCUUCAGCCCCAUAGACAGCUAAUGAAACUUUAAACACUACUUUUCCCAGCAGAAGCCCACAUACCCUCCUGCAUCAAACUGUGCAGAAGGGGAGAAGAGCAACAAAGACGGCGUGCUUGAGGCUCCGGGAUAUCUCACUUUGGGCCAGCCCGGCUUGAAGAUACUUGGGAACCGGGAUGUCAUGCGGUCAACUACAUGAAGCUCAUCUUAAAGAACGGGCCUUCUUAUUCUGGCUCCAUGGAGCCUUAAUAUGUCCAUGGAGAGAUUUCAGGGCAUCCACAUACUUGGAAGGAAUAAAAGACCUUUUUCUCCACCUUCUUCGGUUCUCUUUGUUCCUUUGUAUUUUAUGUUUUAGACUUAACAAUAAUAUUUGGAGAAGAGAUCCAGAGGUUUCACCAGCUUGCCAAAGGGAGCCACGGCACACAAAAAGGCCCAAGAACCCAAGGAUGUGACCUUCAGAAAGGUCACGAGUGCUAAGCCAGUUUGGCCAUAACCUAUUCGGUAUCCUUAGAAAUGUUGUUAUUUCUCAGUUGACUCACAGGGGGUAUAAGAGUUAGAUUCAAGGAACAGAAAUGUAGCCAAAACCACUGUCAGUUAAUUGCAGGGUUUAUUGAUAAUUUUACAUAUUGCCUGACUCCAUAUUUGUGUUUAUGAGAAAGGUUCAACAUAUGUGCUUUCCACCUCACUACCUGGCUUGGUCCCCACCAUGUCCUCAGCAGCUCCUUUGCACUAUUAACUAUCAGCUCAGUUCAGAGCAUUGUCUAGUUAUAACUGUUGGGGAUGUUGGGGAGCCAUGGCAUUUUGUACCAAUGUGGACAUUUAGAACUAACUGCUCCGAUCCAGGAUGAGCAAAUCCAGCUGGUACAGCAGUGACAAGCAAUCACCUUUCAAGGAAGAACCUGAGGGGCAGCUGGGUGGUACAGUGGCUAGAGCAUUGACCCUGGAGUCAGGAGGACCCGAGUUCAAAUAUGACCUCAGAGACUUGACAUUUAACUAGAUAUGUGACUAUGGGCAAGUCAGUUAACCCUGAUUCACACACAUACACAUAAACACGUGAUAAAAAACAAUUAAUUCAUCAAAUUAACUACACAGAACUACUAAAUUAACUGACAGAUUUUGUUCAUGUGUUGUGUG